Molecule: non-coding RNA, 47 nt
Organism: Steinernema glaseri
Lineage: Eukaryota; Metazoa; Nematoda; Chromadorea; Rhabditida; Steinernematidae
Source: Rfam
CCAACGGCCCUCUUAAGGGCCACACUAGUGUUAUCGAGUUGUGUUGU